This 763-nucleotide long non-coding RNA is filed under the name Lonchura striata (white-rumped munia). Its description in RNAcentral is "domestica (Bengalese finch) lncRNA (ENSLSDG00000008693.1)". The record is from RNAcentral. Lineage: Eukaryota; Metazoa; Chordata; Aves; Passeriformes; Estrildidae.
GGAUUAUUUAAUUUAUGAUUUUGCUGUGGUUGAAACUUCAGGAAAACCAAUUUAUUACACUGUUGUAUCUGGCAAUGAAAGAGGUCACUUUAGACUGGAUACUGAAAGUGGUGAGCUGAGAACAGCAGUUAAUUUGGACUAUGAGGAAGUUUCUCAGUAUGUGAUUUUAAUUCAAGCAAACAAAAGAGUCUCCUCUGCUGCAGAAUUCCAGCGUUCAGGUAACCUCUUGCUUUGAAUGACAUUCCAGGGGAGCAGUGGACACGUGGUUUUUAUUUGCAAUCCAUAGAGGAGUUGUGAUUCUCUUUUACUUGUAAAGUUUGAUGUGAAAGGUGAAAAGCUGAUGGUCCAGGUUGUUCCCUCGUGUUGUUCCCAGGCCUGUUUGCUGAGAACGCGGCCAUGCUUACAAUCUCUGUGCAGGAUGUGAACGAAGAGCCCGUGUUCUCCAGCCAUUCUUACUCUGCUCGCAUUCCCAGCUCUGUGCCCUACAAAUACCCUGUCAUUACAGUCCAGGCCACAGAUCCAGACUCAGGAGACAAUGGACACCUGCUGUACAGCUUAGUGAGAGGUCAAACCAACGAAUUUGACAUCAAUGAAAACACAGGGCAGAUUUUUACAGUUUCUGUAGCAGGGAAAGCUGGAACAUUUUAUCUGGAAGUCCAAGCUGCCGACCAAGGCACAAGAAGACUCACAGCCUGGACAACAGUCAAUGUAAGGAAGAUUUUUAUGUAUAAUCCUGAUUUACUUCCAUGUCAAAAUUGUAAAC